Lagopus leucura (white-tailed ptarmigan) is the source of this 675-nucleotide long non-coding RNA. RefSeq lists it as uncharacterized. The record is from RefSeq and is a predicted model, not a curated record. Lineage: Eukaryota; Metazoa; Chordata; Aves; Galliformes; Phasianidae. The transcript has 3 exons.
GGGAACGUUUGGGUUUCCUUCUUGGAGUUUUCCAGAAAAGCCCUUAUCUCUGGAGUGGGGAUAAUGGACUGUGAUUAGACUUGCAGAAUAAAGACUGUUACUUUUAUUGUGUGGUCUCCAAAGCAGAUGGAUUCAGGACAAGGACUUGGGCUGUAAGUUAGUUUUGGAGCCUUCUAGGAGGAAUUCUCUUGGGAAAGACUAGAUCUGGAGGAAAAAAGGUGACUGCACUGGCUCUCAGAAAUGUGAAUGUACUGAAGUUGUCACCCUGGAAAGCUGCAAAACUGGAGCAACCUAUAAACUGGAAAGAUAUUGGAAACAAGACAUGGUACAAUUUGCAAGACUGCCUGAACCAAAGGACUGCAGUGAGAACUGAUGACUGAAAAAUUUACAGUAGUUCAGUUUGAAAUGUUUUUAACCAUGUAGAGCACUCCCUUCAAACAGCACCAGGCAAUCUCAACAGAGGGGCAGCCCAUGUUUUGUAGCUGUUAAAGUACAAAACUUCGUUCCUAGUAAUGGUUUCAAAAUAUACACAUGAGAUGUGAAGGAGUCUUGGGAAAGACCUACAAAAAGAAACUGGGUAAGAUACAAUGUGUACUGAUUUCACGUGUCCUCAAGGCUGCAUAAUUUAAUAGACAAUACUGACAAAUGUAAUAUGGAUUAUGUUAAUAGGUUAUG